GCACUGCAUUGGGUACGGGACAGGGUACGGGUAAGGCACGGCCUUGUAUAUUGGUUUCGGCGGAUCAGGCUUCUUCUCAGGUUCGCACUUGCAGCAGCAUUUGCAUGGUUUGGGAACAGGUUUCUUCUCAGGCUCGCACUUGCAGCUGCAUUUGCAUGGUUUGGGUUCAGGUUUCUUCUCGGGCUCGCAUUUGCAGCUGCAUUUGCAUGGUUUGGGUUCAGGCUUCUUCUCAGGUUCGCAUUUGCAGCAGCAUUUGCAUGGUCUGGGAUCAGGUUUCUUCUCAGGUUCGGCUGGUUUUUUUGGCGGCCAUUCGGGGACGAUGAUGAUCUCCGUGACGACCUUGCAG
This 346-nucleotide long non-coding RNA is filed under the name Brachypodium distachyon (stiff brome). Its description in RNAcentral is "long non-coding RNA (BDIS_LNC005709)". Lineage: Eukaryota; Viridiplantae; Streptophyta; Magnoliopsida; Poales; Poaceae. The record is from RNAcentral.